UACGGAAGGCAGCAGUGGGGAAUAUUGCACAAUGGGCGCAAGCCUGAUGCAGCCAUGCCGCGUGUAUGAAGAAGGCCUUCGGGUUGUAAAGUACUUUCAGUCGUGAGGAAGGUGUUAAGGUUAAUAACCUUAGCAAUUGACGUUAGCGACAGAAGAAGCACCGGCUAACUCCGUGCCAGCAGCCGCGGUAAUACGGAGGGUGCGAGCGUUAAUCGGAAUUACUGGGCGUAAAGGGCACGCAGGCGGUUAAUUAAGUUGGAUGUGAAAUCCCCGGGCUUAACCUGGGAAUGACAUUCAAGACUGGUUAGCUAGAGUCUUGUAGAGGGGGUAGAAUUCCAUGUGUAGCGGUGAAAUGCGUAGAGAUGUGGAGGAAUACCGGUGGCGAAGGCGGCCCCUGGACAAAGACUGACGCUCAUGUGCGAAAGCGUGGGGAGCAAACAGGGAUUAGAUACC
This 453-nucleotide ribosomal RNA is filed under the name uncultured bacterium. RNAcentral describes it as "bacterial SSU rRNA". It matches the Rfam family "Bacterial small subunit ribosomal RNA", at positions 340 to 786 of the family's 1533-position model. The record is from RNAcentral.